GAGCAGUUAUAGCACAAGCCUGUAAUCUCAGUAGCUCGUGAGGCUGAGACAGGAGGAUUGGGAGUUCAAAGCCAGUCUCAGCAAAAAAAAAAAAAAAAAAAAAAAAAAAAAAAAGGCACUAAGCAAAUCAGUGGGUGCUAAGCAACUCAGUGAGAUCCUGUCCCUAAAUAAAAUAUGAAAUAGGGCUGGGAAUGUGGCUUUAGUGGUCAAGUGCCCUUGAGUUCAAUAUCUGGUUGUCCCCCACACUCCCCGAAAAGAAAGAAAUACAGAAAAGAAAGUAAUGAACAAAUAAGUUAACUCCAUAGAGGCACCAUUCAUACACCAUUCAUCGAUUACUUUAAUAUAAACUCUUUAGACUGUUCCUUAGCAAAUGUAGACCCAGAACUCAUUUGGGUGUGAGAGAUGUACUUCAGUCUAAGCAAACUCAGAGAAGACUAACAUAAAAAACAGAGACUAAUAUAAAAAGCUUUUAAAAUUUAUACUAAGAUUAAACAAGCCAUGAUAGUCUGGUGGCAUACAUCUUUAUUGUAAGACUGUAUCUCCCAAAAAGAUUUGAGUGAUUGGGUCCACUGAUCAGAGCUUACUGAUGCUUUUCUGAAAGCUUGAGACAGUGGUUUAUAAUUCUACUUUAUUGUUAGGCUUUGUGAAGGGCUCUGAAGGUGUAGACAAAGUAUUUAACCUGUUGAGCCUCAAGUUUUUAAUCAUUAAAAUAGUAAUAACUAGCUACCUUAUAGAAUUGUAGAGAAUUAAAUAAAACAAUCCAUGUAAAAUGACUGGUACAGUGCCU
This 787-nucleotide long non-coding RNA is filed under the name Marmota monax (woodchuck). Lineage: Eukaryota; Metazoa; Chordata; Mammalia; Rodentia; Sciuridae. The record is from RNAcentral.